UACGAAGGGUGCAAGCGUUACUCGGAAUUACUGGGCGUAAAGCGUGCGCAGGCGGUGAUGUAAGACAGGUGUGAAAUCCCCGGGCUUAACCUGGGAACUGCAUUUGUGACUGCAUCGCUGGAGUGCGGCAGAGGGGGAUGGAAUUCCGCGUGUAGCAGUGAAAUGCGUAGAGAUGUGGAGGAACACCGAUGGCGAAGGCAGCCUCCUGGGCCAGCACUGACGCUCAUGCACGAAAGCGUGGGGAGCAAACAGG
This 253-nucleotide ribosomal RNA is filed under the name uncultured bacterium. RNAcentral's name for it is "partial 16S ribosomal RNA". It matches the Rfam family "Bacterial small subunit ribosomal RNA", at positions 524 to 776 of the family's 1533-position model. The record is from RNAcentral.